RNAcentral lists this ribosomal RNA (492 nucleotides) under uncultured bacterium. Its description in RNAcentral is "partial 16S ribosomal RNA". It matches the Rfam family "Bacterial small subunit ribosomal RNA", at positions 29 to 507 of the family's 1533-position model. The record is from RNAcentral.
AGUGAACGCUGGCGGUAGGCCUAACACAUGCAAGUCGAACGGCAGCACAGUAAGAGCUUGCUCUUACGGGUGGCGAGUGGCGGACGGGUGAGGAAUACAUCGGAAUCUACUUUUUCGUGGGGGAUAACGUAGGGAAACUUACGCUAAUACCGCAUACGACCUACGGGUGAAAUCAGGGGAUCUUCUGACCUUGCGCGAUUGAAUGAGCCGAUGUCGGAUUAGCUAGUUGGCGGGGUAAAGGCCCACCAAGGCGACGAUCCGUAGCUGGUCUGAGAGGAUGAUCAGCCACACUGGAACUGAGACACGGUCCAGACUCCUACGGGAGGCAGCAGUGGGGAAUAUUGGACAAUGGGCGCAAGCAUGAUCCAGCAAUACCGCGUGGGUGAAGAAGGACUUCGGGUUGUAAAGCCCUUUUGUUGGGAAAGAAAAGCAGCAGGUUAAUACCCCGCUGUUCUGACGGUACCCAAAGAAUAAGCACCGGCUAACUUCGUG